Molecule: long non-coding RNA, 4356 nt
Organism: Herpailurus yagouaroundi (jaguarundi)
Lineage: Eukaryota; Metazoa; Chordata; Mammalia; Carnivora; Felidae
Exons: 2
Source: RefSeq, a predicted model, not a curated record
AAACCACAGGUUCAAAAUGAUACCAACACCUUCCCUAUGUAUGUAAAUUUGCUGCUAGCUAAACUGUUCAGUGUUCUAAAAGCUGAUAAUGGGAAAUAACUGUACCUCACUGGAAUAAUAGAGUUAUGAAAAAUUUGUGCUUUAUAAAAAUGUGAAGGAUUUGUAGAAUUAAGAGGUUUCCAUUUUACAAUUCAUUAUGAAAUAGUAUCAACGAUCAUCAAUGACUGCUAAAACGAUUAGGUCGAAAGGUUAUGGCGAAUUUAUAAUCAUGCUGACAACGUCCAAACCCCACAAUUCAGUCCCAUCAUUUUAAACACACACACACACAAAAUGAUGUUAUGUACCUCCUGCUGGGAUACAACAGGAAAUACAAAAUACCAACCAUGACAUUUUCUUGGCAAAAUUUCAAAACUGGAUCAGGCUCCCCCAGAUCCAAAUACCAGUUUAUAAGAAAUAUUGGGGAGAGAAAUAUGUUAAAUGAAAGAACUGAUAGGAUCCUAUAAGCAGAAUCCACAAUGUGAGGGAAAAUGUAGAGGGAAAAGACCUACCUUGUUCAACAAAUUGCCAAAAAGACCAAAAAGGAGGAAGGGGAAAUUUAUAAUUAAAGAUUUAAGAGAGUUCAAAUGUUACCGUUUCUGUAAACCUUUAAUAGACUCCUUGAAAUAGAACAAAUCCCUCACUUCAAAGCAAUCCCAACACAUCAAGAACUUGACACUCCACUAUGCCCCUUUUCCCUAUUCCAGGAUUCCCCCCUCCCCUUCCACCUUACUCAGAUUCAGUUCCAUGGUCAUCAUUAUGAUCACUCUCUCGCACAUAACAUAAGCUCCUUUGCCCCCUCUCAUACUUGCUUGGGUAGAUCACACACCCGAGUAAAUCCUACUCUGUAUGCCUGUCCUCUAGCAGCUGAAUGUGGAUGAAUAGCUGAUUUCUUUUUAGAUUCACCCUCCUUAAUGUCACUGGAACCUUAAUGCUGCCUGGCAGUUUUUUCCCCUUGGUCUGGCUUCUUUUCCAGUUUCCAAUUUGAAACAAUUAUACCUUUUCCUCUUUCCAAACACCUCCAAAAUCGCCUCCAUCCUCAUCUGAUAAAGUCAUCUUGCUUGAUAUUUCACUGAAUUAAAUAAAGGUAAUAAGAAAACUUCCAACACAUCUAAAUGACUAAUAAACAUAUGAAAAGCUACGACACAUGCAAAUUAAAACUGUACAACCUGGUACCACUACCACUCACCAGAACGGUUAAAUUGACAGUAGAAAUACAGGCAUUCCUCAGACAUUUUGUGGCUCGGGCUCCAGACCACUGCAAUGAAACAGCUAUCACAAAAAAACAAGUCAAAUUAAUUUUUUGGUCGCCCAGUGCAUAUAAAAGUUAAAAUUAUGCUACACUGUGGUCUAUGGUGUGUGCAAUAGCAUUAUGCCUUAAAAAAAAAAUACAGAGCUUAAUUUGAAAAUACUUUAUCGUUAAGAAUAAACGCUAACCAUCAUCUGGGCUUUCAGCAAGUUGUCAGGUUUUGGCUGGUGGAGGGUCUUGCCUCGAUGUUGAUGGCUGCUGCGUGACCAGGGUGGUGGUUGCUAGGAUGUCUGUGGCAGUUUCUUAAAAUAAGACAACAAUGAAGUUGGCCACAUCAUUCACUCUUCCUUUCACAAUUUCUCUGUAGCCUGUGAUGCUGUUGGAUAGCAUUUUACCCAGAAAACUUCUUCCAAAAGGAGUCAAUCCUCUGGCUGCUGCUUUGUCAACUAAAUUUAUGUAUUCAACACUUUGUUGUCAUUUCAACAAUCUUCACAGCACCUUCACCAGUCGAUUCCAUCUCGAGAAACCACUCGUCACCAUAACAAAUACAAUAAUAAUGAAAAAGUUUGAAGCACCUCAAGAAUUACCAAAACAUGACAAGGACACAGUGAACAAAUCCUAUUGGAAAAAUGGCACCCAAAGACUCCCUCAACAUAGGAUAGCCACAAACCUUCCAGGUGUGAAAAAGAGAAGCACAAUUCAGUGAAACUCAAUAAAACAAGGUGCAAUGUUAAUGAAAGAAGAGAGAAACCGAACUCCACAAGCUCCCACUGCUUCAUGGAACUGUCCACGUGCAUCUGAGCCCCUUCACUGGCCUUCACUCCUGUUACUGUGGGUGUUCCAUCAAAGAUAGGCUUUGCCUCCUGUGCCCUACAGAAUUACCCCCUCUCUUCCUAAGAAUGCCACUCCGGCAGGUCUCCCAUCUCAUUCCCACACCUUUUCUCUCGACUAGAUUUUUCCCAUCAACCUACAGACAUAGUAUCACUUUUCUACUGUCUAAGACAACCUUCUCAACCUUCGGUUGCUGUAGUUUUUUCCCCUUCUCUUGGGCUAGAGCAAAACUCAAAUGAUUAUAUGCGCUGAAUGCCGAUUUGUUCUAAUACCCUCUUUGAACCACUCCAGUCAUGUUCUCACCUCCACACUCCACAAACACAGAUCUUCUCAUCCAGGUCACCUCCGCAUUGUUCAGCCCGGUAGCCACUUCUUCACCGCCGUCUUCCGUGAUUUUCCGCCGUUUUUAGGCUUAAUCAUCAACUCCCUCUUUCCGAGAUCACUUUCUCCUUCAGGCUUCCAGAAUACUGAGCACCCAUGUUGCCCUCUACCACACUACUAGCUGCUCCUUUCCAACUUUCUUAUAUGGUUCCUCUUUACAUCUCUGGCCUCUCAUUUUGGAGAUCCCCAGAGUUCAUCCAGGGGCUUAGUGUCCAUCCAUGUUUUCUCCUCUGGGGCUCAUAUGCAGCAUCAUGCACACACUGCGUAAGUGGAGGAACACCAACGAAAUGUCUCCAGCCCAGACCUCUCUCCCGAACUCAGGCUCCUGACGCAUCUGUCUCCCAGCGUUUCUACCUAGAUGUCUAACAGGCAUCUCCGAUUUUCUAUGUGCAACAUCAAACUCCGGAUCUGCCCCUAAAAACCCACUCUUUCACAGGUUUCCCGUCUUGGUUAACGGAAACUCUAUCCUUCUGACUCCUCACCAGGACAAAACCCUCGGAGACAUUCUUGACUCCACCAUUUCUCUCCUAAACAAACUCAGUCUGUCAGCAGGUCCUCAAACAGAACCGCCAAAGCAUUUCUAGAAUCGGACCACUCUCACCAUUUCUACUUCUGUAACCCUGGCCUAAGCCACUAUUGCUAGUGCCAGGAUUAUUGUCAGAACCUCCUAACUGGCCUUCCUGCUUCCCCUCCCUCCCAACCAGUCUGGUCUUGGUGCACCAUUGAAACACUGGCCAGAUCAAGUCAGUCCUCUGCUCAAAACCUUCCAUGUCCUACCUAUUUCACGCAAAGACAAUUUCCGUGUGACGGGUUACAAGGGCAUUCACAGCAUACCCCUUCUCCCUUGUACUGUUACCUCUUCUUUGUCCCCACCUUUCCUCUGCUCCAUUGACACUAGCCUCCUUGCUGCUCCUCAAACAUGGAAGAUGAGCUUCUGCUUCAAGGCCUUGCAACUCUUUCCUCUUGGCCUAGAAUGCUCUUCCCCCAUUUAUCCUCAUGGAUCAUCCCUUCAUCUUCUUCAGAUCUGGACUCAAAUGUCACUUUUUCAUUAAGGGCCUCCCUGACCACAGUAUUUACCAGUGUUAAGCCCUCUCCCUCUCCACCCCACUCUCCUACAGUCUCUAUCACUUCCUUUAAUUUCUCUCUAGCACCAUCUCCUUCUGAUACACAUAUGUAUUACUUAUCUGUCUGCUGUCGGUUUCCUGCUAGUAUGUAACAACAGGAGCAUGAGGAUUUCUGUCUUGUUGACUGCUAUAUCCCCGGUGUCAAGAACAAUGCCUAGUAAAUAGUAAGAGUUUAGUUACUAUUUGCGGAACGAACAUAGGAGUUAUGUCAGUCCCUGUCACACACUCAAGCCUCAAAGAGAUGGGAACCACAUCUUAACUAUCUUUGUAAUAAAUGACUGACUAAAUGGAAGAAAGAAGAACGGAUCUUCAGUUUAAUGAAGGUACUUACUGAAGGCAAUGCAUUCAAUUGUCCUUUUCAUUUUUAAUGCAAAUACUUGCUCUCCCCUGAACAAAUCAGGUCAGCUAUUCCCAAACAAUGUUACCAACUGCCUUUUCUUCCUUUCUUAAAUUUUCCCUCAAUCAAGAGCAAAGAUUACAAUAGGCAGAGCGUGCAAUAAAAAUAUAGUGAUUAAACAAUGCUUACCAAAUCAAAAAGAGGAAAUAUUCAAACCUUGAGAGGUAAUACAAACAUUGUUGCACAACUCACUUAUGAUUUUUCUUGUCCCAAGAAAGGUUAAAGAAACAGAUAUGACUCAGAAGGAAGGAAAAAACCAACAGAUAUGUUGGUUUAACCAUAUGAUUUCUAAAAUACACUCAAUAAAUGAGGGCAAAUUUUGACCCUUCUGAUGUGAA